This 393-nucleotide ribosomal RNA is filed under the name uncultured bacterium. Its description in RNAcentral is "partial 16S ribosomal RNA". It matches the Rfam family "Bacterial small subunit ribosomal RNA", at positions 523 to 918 of the family's 1533-position model. The record is from RNAcentral.
AUACGGAGGAUGCGAGCGUUAUCCGGAUUUAUUGGGUUUAAAGGGUGCGUAGGCGGACGAUUAAGUCAGCUGUGAAAUGCCCGCGCUUAACGCGGGAAGUGCAGUUGAUACUGGUCGUCUUGAGUGCAGUAGAGGUAGGCGGAAUUCGUGGUGUAGCGGUGAAAUGCUUAGAUAUCACGAAGAACUCCGAUUGCGAAGGCAGCUUACUGGACUGUAACUGACGCUGAUGCUCGAAAGUGUGGGUAUCAAACAGGAUUAGAUACCCUGGUAGUCCACACAGUAAACGAUGAAUGCUCGCUGUUUGCGAUAUACGGCAAGCGGCCAAGCGAAAGCAUUAAGUAUUCCACCUGGGGAGUACGCCGGCAACGGUGAAACUCAAAUGAAUUGGCGGGG